RNAcentral lists this ribosomal RNA (503 nucleotides) under uncultured bacterium. RNAcentral's name for it is "partial 16S ribosomal RNA". It matches the Rfam family "Bacterial small subunit ribosomal RNA", at positions 30 to 523 of the family's 1533-position model. The record is from RNAcentral.
AUUGAACGCUGGCGGCAGGCUUAACACAUGCAAGUCGAGCGGAGUGAUGGUGCUUGCACUAUCACUUAGCGGCGGACGGGUGAGUAAUGCUUAGGAGUCUGCCUAUUAGUGGGGGACAACAUCUCGAAAGGGAUGCUAAUACCGCAUACGUCCUACGGGAGAAAGCAGGGGAUCACUUGUGACCUUGCGCUAAUAGAUGAGCCUAAGUCGGAUUAGCUAGUUGGUGGGGUAAAGGCCUACCAAGGCGACGAUCUGUAGCGGGUCUGAGAGGAUGAUGCGCCACACUGGGACUGAGACACGGCCCAGACUCCUACGGGAGGCAGCAGUGGGGAAUAUUGGACAAUGGGGGGAACCCUGAUCCAGCCAUGCCGCGUGUGUGAAGAAGGCCUUAUGGUUGUAAAGCACUUUAAGCGAGGAGGAGGCUCUUUUGGUUAAUACCCAAGAUGAGUGGACGUUACUCGCAGAAUAAGCACCGGCUAACUCUGUGCCAGCCGCCGCAGUAA